RNAcentral lists this long non-coding RNA (1602 nucleotides) under Pan troglodytes (chimpanzee). RNAcentral's name for it is "lincRNA". Lineage: Eukaryota; Metazoa; Chordata; Mammalia; Primates; Hominidae. The record is from RNAcentral.
AGGUAGACACUUAGGAGUGGAAUUGCUGAGUCAUACAGUAAUUCUAUGUUUAACAUUUUGAGGAACUGCCAAACUGUUUCCAAAAUGGCUGCAACAUUCUACAUUUCCAUCAGCAAGAAGGGCCCAUGUGGCAAGGAACUAAGGGCAGUCUCUGGCCAAAAGCCCACAAGUAACUGAAUUCUGCCAAUAACCAUGAGUUUGGAAGUGGAUCCUUCCCCAUUCGAGUCUCAGAUGAGUCCCCAGCCCUGGCCAGCAUCUUCAUGUGCUGUGAGAGACCAUUAAGCAGAGGACCCAGCUAAGCUCUGCCCAGAUGCUCAAUCCACAGAAAAAGAUACUAAGUGUGUGUUGUUUUAAGCUGCUACAUUUGCAGUGGUUUGAUAUGCAGCAAUAGAUAACUGAUACUGCUGUUAAUUGCUUUCUAUUACAAUCAACUGGAAUAACUGCCCUUGUGCAUACAAUCAGGGAUGUAUUUUGGGAUCAAUUCCCAGACCUGAGAUUGUUCAGUCCAAGGGUAAGGAUAUUUAAUGUGGAAAAAUAACACUAAAUUGUCCUCCAAAAAUAUUAUCAAGUGACAAUCAUGCAAACAGUAUGAAAGUUCCUACUUCUCUCCAUGUUCUUGCCAAAUGAAGUGUCAUUGAUCAUUGAAAAAAUAUCAGUUUGAGAAAAAUCAGUACUGCAUUGCUUUGAUUGCAUUUUCCUGAUCACUUAUCAGGGUGAGCAUCUUUUUAACGAAUCCCUUGGCCAUUUAUUUUCCUCUUUCUUCUGAGACUUCUCUCUUGAUAUUUUUAGCUUUUAUCCUAUUUUAAUUGGAUUUCAAUUGGAUUGAACAACUAGAAUGAUAGAAUGAUAUCUGGGGGGCACACAAUGGCCAUUGGUGAUGCUGCUGUUGAUUACCCAAAGUGCUAUCCCAUUUCUUCCUGUGUAUUUACUACUAUUUCUCUUGCAGUUAAUAAGCAAUUUAUGGGAAGAUUCUUUGAGACCAUUCAAAUAUCCUGCACCUCAUUAAAAUAUCCCCCUGGAUUUAGCAGCCUUUGAUGAUUCUUGCCUGAACAAAACUUUAUUAUGGUAGAUGUAAAAUGAAGAUUUUCAUUUCUAGCACUUCUUCCACAUUUACCAGCUACAUUCAGCCUUCUUGUGGAUAAGACUCUCCCCUUUCUCCCAAUUGUUUAUUGUUUUUAUUAGUAUGGACUCACGAUUUCCUGUUCUUCUCAAUGGCCUAUAAUUUAUUACUAUCUUUAAUUAUAUUAGUGCUCAAAUUUUCCCAGUUUGGCCAGUGGGAUCCCCUCCAAGUUGGCUAUUAUUUCCUUGUGACAUACACACUUUUUCUUUCUUUCUCUUUCUUUUUCUUUCCUUUUAAAACUCACUUCUUUACUUCCUGCUCCAGCCCUGGAAUCAGCCAUUUCUCUGAAAAACUGUGGUUCUUUCAAGUGGACAAAGGUAUUAGAGACCAAAAUUUGGGCACAAGAUAUGCACUUUAACAAGGACCCACUUUAAGUGCAGUUUAGUGAAUCUGAAUGAAUGCAUGAACUUCUGUAACUACUACCACAAUCAAGAUAUAGAGUUUCUGUCACCUCUCAAAGCCUCCUUUUCUUGCUUGCUCAU